UCCGGUCCUCGGUAGUGGCCUCCGGGAGCCGCGCAUCAUGCGCAGGCAGCCCGUGGGCUUCGAUCGAUGGCCGUC
Molecule: non-coding RNA, 75 nt
Organism: Nesterenkonia sp. PF2B19
Lineage: Bacteria; Bacillati; Actinomycetota; Actinomycetes; Micrococcales; Micrococcaceae
Source: Rfam